RNAcentral lists this unclassified non-coding RNA (170 nucleotides) under uncultured Inocybe. Its description in RNAcentral is "partial internal transcribed spacer 2". The record is from RNAcentral. Lineage: Eukaryota; Fungi; Basidiomycota; Agaricomycetes; Agaricales; Cortinariaceae.
AUAUCUCAACCGCACCAUUGGGGUGUGGCUUGGAUUUGGGGGUUAUGCAGGCUCUGGCUUGUAGUCUGCUCCCCUGAAAUGCAUGAGUGGUUGAACCCUCUGUUAGGUGUGAUAAUUAUCUGCGUCUGAUGGAAAGGUCAUGGCUGCUUAUAUGUCGUCGGAUUUGAUAA